ACUCCUACGGGAGGCAGCAGUGGGGAAUAUUGCACAAUGGGCGAAAGCCUGAUCCAGCCAUGCCGCGUGUGUGAAGAAGGUCUUCGGAUUGUAAAGCACUUUAAGUUGGGAGGAAGGGCAGUAACUUAAUACGUUGCUGUUUUGACGUUACCGACAGAAUAAGCACCGGCUAACUCUGUGCCAGCAGCCGCGGUAAU
Molecule: ribosomal RNA, 197 nt
Filed under: uncultured Pseudomonas sp.
Lineage: Bacteria; Pseudomonadati; Pseudomonadota; Gammaproteobacteria; Pseudomonadales; Pseudomonadaceae
Description: partial 16S ribosomal RNA
Rfam family: Bacterial small subunit ribosomal RNA
Source: RNAcentral